RNAcentral lists this long non-coding RNA (1317 nucleotides) under Apteryx haastii (Great spotted kiwi). Its description in RNAcentral is "lncRNA (ENSAHAG00000009255.1)". Lineage: Eukaryota; Metazoa; Chordata; Aves; Apterygiformes; Apterygidae. The record is from RNAcentral.
CAUCAGAGGAAAGCAAGCAGAAGCACUUCACCAAGGUUCUGGAUGAGGGAAAGAGGAGGUGAAACCAACCCUGCAUCAGGCCUGAGGCAUCCAACCCAAAAGGAGGCUGACUCCACAGUCUGGCAAAGGGCUUCAACCUGUUUGGGAGCAUCUCUGUAAGGGGAGCUGCUGGGCAGCAGGACUGUGRUACGCCUGUUCCCGUUGUAAACUGUUACUGAUGAGUGCCCUGAAAUUCAGGCAGACAGACAUAAACAAGUAGGUACGCUGGCUUGAUCUGCACUGAUUGGUUCCCCUCAAGCAUAUGUACUGSGCAAAGGAUUUGAAUGUGCAUAGGAGAGCAGAGCUGCCGGUAUCUGAUGAGCUGCAAARGUUGUGUUGCCUCAUGGCUUUAUGCUCCCUGAGCCCUGGAUUUCAGGAUGGGUCACCUUGCUCUUCUGAGAUGUAGCUGUUGAGCUGGGGUGGAAUGAGCUCCACACGCAGACCAGGAGCUGCAAAGGCAGCUGUGAGCCUGAAUCCUAUCAAAUCAAUGGGAAUUAGAUAYGUGUAUGGUUCUGCAGCUCUGCUUCGCAGUGAUCUUGGCAUAUAUCAAUAGCAGAGCUCGAGGGACAAGUCAGCAGGAUGGAGGACCACAUGCCACCUGUAUUCAGGCAAGGCUGCUCUGGCUUUAGACGGGCAAACUUUUCAAUGUGGUGGCUGACCUGGAACCAGGGGGAAAUUAUUCCAGGUAGGACAAGUGCAGACAUGUGUGCCUUUUGCUGUGCUUGUUGUUCUUUCAGCAGAUAAAUGCAGUGGGUGCAUUGAUAUGCUUGCUUCAGCUCCCUUGACUCAGGUUGUGAAAGGUGAAACCUCUUAUACCUGUGCUCUGGAGACAUCUGCCAGCUCUUGGCCACUGUUUGAGCAAUAGCAUCARGCACUCCUGGCUGCCUCAGUCCUGUCGUAAGCUUGUUUGGGCUUCUGUGAGCUUGUGGUGGUGCUUAAAACAUGUAUGAAUAUGUUUCAGCUGUUAUUCCCUCAUUUCAAAAGGUCUCUAGACAAAGAGAAGACAAUGACAUGUCUCCUAGACCUGUGCAACCAAGGAGUCUUAUCCUACAGGCCAGACUAACAGCAUUUCAGAGAAACCAGGCUUAUGAUGAUGGCAUCUCUGGCAGAGAGGCCCAGAAAAGUGYCUAAGAAACAUGCCUGGUCUCAUGAUGUUCAACAAGACAGUGCCUGUGGAAAAGCAAUAAUGGCUAGAAGUAAUGAUGCUUGCUGCUUCCGGAGUCUCUUAUCUGUGAGUGCUUUGUAAAAGUGUCACCUCCCUACCACCAAGAGAAAGUU